AUGAAAAUGCUCACCACUAAGUAUGAUGGUAAAAGCGGCGUGAGAGAACAUAUCAUGACUGUGAAUGAUAUGGCUACGAAAUUAAAGGGCAUGGACAUGGAGAUUUCUGAGGGCUUCCUGGUUCGCUUCAUUAUGACCUCUCUUCCUAUGGAGUAUGGUCCCUUCAAGAUUAAUUAUAAUACUCAGAAGGAGAAGUGUUCCACGAGUGAGAUCACAUGUAUGUGCGUUCAAGAAGAAGAGCGGCUUAAGGUUGAAAGGAUAGAUUAUGCUCAUCUUACUUCCAUAAACUCAGGGAAAAGAAAGUCUCAGUGUGAUGGGAAACCUAAGAAGAAGAUGAACAUCUCUAAUAUUGAUGCAAGCAAGCUAGGGACCUCUGGCACCAAGGUCAUCCCUACAGAGCCUAAGGGUCCUAAGUGUCAUUUCUGUAAGGAAGAUGGGCAUGUCAUGAAAGAAUGUGAUGGCUUUAAGGCAUGGCUUGCUAAGAAGGGGAUUCCAUUCCAUGAGGACAUUCAAAAGGAUGAAUCAAAGUCUUAUAUUUCCAAGUGGCAAGGAGACUGA
RNAcentral lists this ribosomal RNA (558 nucleotides) under Triticum aestivum (bread wheat). RNAcentral's name for it is "partial small subunit ribosomal RNA". The record is from RNAcentral. Lineage: Eukaryota; Viridiplantae; Streptophyta; Magnoliopsida; Poales; Poaceae.